Molecule: ribosomal RNA, 641 nt
Filed under: Azonexus sp.
Lineage: Bacteria; Pseudomonadati; Pseudomonadota; Betaproteobacteria; Rhodocyclales; Azonexaceae
Description: bacterial SSU rRNA
Rfam family: Bacterial small subunit ribosomal RNA
Source: RNAcentral
GAUGUCAGCUAGUUGUUGGGUGGGUAAAACCAUUUAGUAACGUAGCUAACGCGUGAAGUUGACCGCCUGGGGAGUACGGCCGCAAGGUUAAAACUCAAAGGAAUUGACGGGGACCCGCACAAGCGGUGGAUGAUGUGGAUUAAUUCGAUGCAACGCGAAAAACCUUACCUACCCUUGACAUGUCCAGAAGCCUUGAGAGAUUGAGGUGUGCCCGAAAGGGAGCUGGAACACAGGUGCUGCAUGGCUGUCGUCAGCUCGUGUCGUGAGAUGUUGGGUUAAGUCCCGCAACGAGCGCAACCCUUGUCGUUAAUUGCCAUCAUUUGGUUGGGCACUUUAACGAGACUGCCGGUGACAAACCGGAGGAAGGUGGGGAUGACGUCAAGUCCUCAUGGCCCUUAUGGGUAGGGCUUCACACGUCAUACAAUGGUCGGUACAGAGGGUUGCCAAGCCGCGAGGUGGAGCCAAUCCCAGAAAGCCGAUCGUAGUCCGGAUUGCAGGCUGCAACUCGCCUGCAUGAAGUCGGAAUCGCUAGUAAUCGCGGAUCAGCAUGUCGCGGUGAAUACGUUCCCGGGUCUUGUACACACCGCCCGUCACACCAUGGGAGUGGGUUCUGCCAGAAGUGGGUAGCCUAACCGCAAGGA